AUAAACGCUGGCGGCGUGCAUGAGACAUGCAAGUCGAACGGACACACAGGGCUUGCUCUGUGUGUUAGUGGCGGACGGCUGAGUAACGCGUAGGUGACCUGUCCCGAAGUGGGGAAUAACUGCCCGAAAGGGUGGCUAAUACCGCAUGUGGUGGUGCGUUCGAUCGCGCCAGUAAAGCCGCAAGGCGCUUCGGGAGGGGCCUGCGUCCGAUUAGCUCGUUGGUGGGGUAACGGCUCACCAAGGCGACGAUCGGUAGGUGGUCUGAGAGGACGAUCACCCAGACUGGGACUGAGACACGGCCCAGACUCCUACGGGAGGCAGCAGUCGGGAAUUUUGCGCAAUGGACGAAAGUCUGACGCAGCAACGCCGCGUGAGGGAUGACGGCCUUCGGGUUGUAAACCUCUUUUAUCAGGGAAGAUAAUGACGGUACCUGAUGAAUAAGUCACGGCUAACUACGU
RNAcentral lists this ribosomal RNA (458 nucleotides) under uncultured bacterium. Its description in RNAcentral is "bacterial SSU rRNA". It matches the Rfam family "Bacterial small subunit ribosomal RNA", at positions 29 to 506 of the family's 1533-position model. The record is from RNAcentral.